UCCGAGUUGACCCCGGCGGUCUCCCGUGAGUCCCCAGCACCACAAGGGCCUGCUGGCAACGUAGGACAAGGGUUGCGCUCGUUGCGGGACUUAACCCAACAUCUCACGACACGAGCUGACGACAGCCAUGCACCACCUGCACACCAACCUCUGCAGCUUUUCCCUAUAUUUCAAGCCCUGGUAAGGUUCUUCGCGUUGCGUCGAAUUAAGCCACAUGCUCCACCGCUUGUGCGGGCCCCCGUCAAUUCCUUUGAGUUUCAGCCUUGCGGCCGUACUCCCCAGGCGGGGCACUUAACGCGUUAGCUGCGGCACCGAAGGGGUCGCUCCCCCCGGCACCUAGUGCCCAUCGUUUACGGCGUGGACUAC
This 366-nucleotide unclassified non-coding RNA is filed under the name uncultured Actinomycetes bacterium. RNAcentral describes it as "uncultured actinobacterium contains 16S-23S intergenic spacer region". Lineage: Bacteria; Bacillati; Actinomycetota; Actinomycetes. The record is from RNAcentral.